Molecule: small RNA, 706 nt
Filed under: Pongo abelii (Sumatran orangutan)
Lineage: Eukaryota; Metazoa; Chordata; Mammalia; Primates; Hominidae
Description: retained intron
Source: RNAcentral
GAGUUCUCCAGGGCCAUGAAUGAGCUGCAACUCAAUGAUGCCGAGUUUGCUUUACUCAUUGCUAUCAGCAUCUUCUCUGCAGGUGUGGAGGAGGGGUAAUGGGAAACAGCAAGAGACUUACACCAAGGAGGGCUGCAGGUCCCACAGGAAUCGGUGGGGGGAGGGGGGUGGUGGCUUGGGAGGGUGGAGGCAUUUGCUGUGUUAUUUUAGGAUGAGAGAGCUUGGCUGGAGCAUGUCUCUAUAUUUUGGUUGCAAUUUGGGGUAUGGAACUGGACCCUGGCCAGAUCUGUUCCUCAACUCUCUUGGUGACCUAUAGACCGGCCCAACGUGCAGGACCAGCUCCAGGUAGAGAGGCUGCAGCACACAUAUGUGGAAGCCCUGCAUGCCUACGUCUCCAUCCACCAUCCCCAUGACCGACUGAUGUUCCCACGGAUGCUAAUGAAACUGGUGAGCCUCCGGACCCUGAGCAGCGUCCACUCAGAGCAAGUGUUUGCACUGCGUCUGCAGGACAAAAAGCUCCCACCGCUGCUCUCUGAGAUCUGGGAUGUGCACGAAUGACUGUUCUGCCCCCAUAUUUUCUGUUUUCUUGGCUGGAUGGCUGAGGCCUGAUGGCUGCCUCCUAGAAGUGGAACAGACUGAGAAGGGCAAACAUUACUGGGAGCUGGGCAAGGAGAUCCUCCCGUGGCAUUAAAAGAGAGUCAAAGGG